Molecule: ribosomal RNA, 502 nt
Filed under: uncultured bacterium
Lineage: Bacteria
Description: partial 16S ribosomal RNA
Rfam family: Bacterial small subunit ribosomal RNA
Source: RNAcentral
GAUGAACGCUAGCGGCAGGCCUAACACAUGCAAGUCGAGGGGCAGCACAGAAACAGCAAUGUUUUGGUGGCGACCGGCGGACGGGUGCGUAACGCGUCUGCAACCUACCUUUAACAGGGGGAUAACGGAGAGAAAUUUCCACUAAUACCCCAUAACAUCGAUCAAGGCAUCUUGAUUGGUUGAAAACUCCGGUGGUUAAAGAUGGGCAUGCGUUGUAUUAGGUAGUUGGUGAGGUAAUGGCUCACCAAGCCUACGAUACAUAGGGGGACUGAGAGGUUAGCCCCCCACACUGGUACUGAGACACGGACCAGACUCCUACGGGAGGCAGCAGUGAGGAAUAUUGGUCAAUGUGGGCAACCCUGAACCAGCCAUGCCGCGUGCAGGAAGACGGCUCUAUGAGUUGUAAACUGCUUUUAAACAGGGAUAAAGCACAGUAUGUAUACUGUGUUGAAGGUACUGUAAGAAUAAGGAUCGGCUAACUCCGUGCCAGCCGCCGCGGUAA